Rhipicephalus sanguineus (brown dog tick) is the source of this 524-nucleotide long non-coding RNA. RefSeq lists it as uncharacterized. The record is from RefSeq and is a predicted model, not a curated record. The transcript has 2 exons. NCBI's taxonomy places the organism in Eukaryota, Metazoa, Arthropoda, Arachnida, Ixodida, Ixodidae.
UCUUCACCUCCGCCGGCGCUGUCUCCGCGCACGUGUCACGAAGUGUCGUCGGUGUCGUCAAGUAGCCGCAAAAGUCAAUACUCCCAUGAAAUGCGACGUUUGUGGCGUUGGCCUGUCUUCACUGGAAAAAUAUGGGGAGCAUUAAGGUAGGGAGCACCACAUCGCAGCGCACAAAUUCGCCGCCGAAUACGUGCAGCAGGCGUUCCACAAAGAUAAAGAAUUCAGUGAAUGGAAAGCUCAGGAAGAGGCGAACUGUUGGUUUGUUCUUCACACGGCUCCCAAAAAGCUGGCCAGUGGGGAAACGAGGAGCCACUACUACUCUAAUAGAUCAGGAGUGGCUAGGCCAAAGGAAGGUCAUGGUAAUCGUCGAGAAAAAAGUCAGGGUACCUGCAAGUCCGGUAAGAUAUGUCUUUCAUUUAUUACUGUGACGAAGAAGGAGAACACUCAGAGCCCGGCACCUGAAGAUAUCACCAUAAAUGUAAGGUACCAAAGAAAGCAUUAUGGCCAUGAAGCAGAAAUUCAGC